AGGACGAACGCUGGCGGCGUGCUUAACACAUGCAAGUCGAGCGGUAAGGCCUUUCGGGGUACACGAGCGGCGAACGGGUGAGUAACACGUGGGUGAUCUGCCCUGCACUCUGGGAUAAGCCUGGGAAACUGGGUCUAAUACCGGACAUGACCUGCUCUCGCAGUGGGGGUGGGCGGAAAGAUUUAUCGGUGCAGGAUGGGCCCGCGGCCUAUCAGCUUGUUGGUGGGUAAUGGCCUACCAAGGCGACGACGGGUAGCCGACCUGAGGAGGGUGACCGGCCACGACUGGGACUGAGACACGGCCCAGACUCCGUACGGGAGGCAGCAGUGGGGAAUAGUUGCACAAGUGGGACGAAAGCCUGAUGCAGCGACGCCGCGUGAGGAUGAAGGCCGUUCGGGUUAGUAAACCACUUUCGAGCGAAGGACGAACGCGACGAAGU
This 439-nucleotide ribosomal RNA is filed under the name uncultured soil bacterium. Its description in RNAcentral is "bacterial SSU rRNA". It matches the Rfam family "Bacterial small subunit ribosomal RNA", at positions 26 to 463 of the family's 1533-position model. The record is from RNAcentral.